Molecule: long non-coding RNA, 2739 nt
Organism: Dreissena polymorpha
Lineage: Eukaryota; Metazoa; Mollusca; Bivalvia; Myida; Dreissenidae
Exons: 2
Source: RefSeq, a predicted model, not a curated record
ACGAGGUUUAAUGUUUCAGGUGUGUCAGGUGUUCCUUAUUAUCUUACCGUCACACAUGCUUUAAACAGUCGUUUAAACCAUUGAAUACAAUGGAGGGAUAUUUCAUGUACUUGAUAAAAUACACCGAUACGUCUAUUCAACGGAGCUGAAUGCAGUUUAUUAAAAAUAAAUCGUUUGUCGAUAAAGACUAUUUGUGUGGACACGAGUUAACUUUUGUGCAUUAAGUUUGGUGAAAAACACAUAUUCAGGGUUGUUAUGCUGUUUCUUUUCGUUUGGUAAAAGUUAUGCAGUUACUAUGUCUGAUGAACAUCACCCGUUUGAACAGUCAGGAAAGUUUGCCGAUGAAAUUACGAUACGAUUUGAAGACUGCGACGAACAUUUGUAUGUUUCUAAAACGUUACUUGGACAUGCAUCACUGGUCUUUCUAACGAUGUUCCAAUGCGAUUUAAAAGAAGCAAAUACAUCCGUAUUAGAUAUCAAAGACUCCAGCAGAGAGGACUUUCUGGAAUUUUUGCUUUGCAUUGAUCCAGGGACGAUGAAGGAUGUGACAAAUAACAAUGUGUUGAGAGUCGUGGUAAUUGCACACAAGUACGACGCAAAGCCCCUGCUCGAAAAAUGCAAACAAAUUAUGAAAAAUUGGUUAAAGGAAUGCGCCAUAGACACAAACGCUGCGUUUGAAAAAAGUCAUGUUUCCUAUGUUCACACCUGUCUUCAAAUCCUCCACACAUCAAAUAUUUUGGGAUUUGUAACCCUUACCGAAAAUGCAAUUGAUCAACUCUCUAAAUUUUGUUCUGGAAUUUACUUGAGGACCAAUUUUGAACAAACACGUAACUUUAUUGGGUGGACUAAGUCGAGCGAAACAGCAACACAGUCCGAGUGUGUUACGAUAUUUCAAAGUAUGCCUGCAGAAGUUCGAGAGAAGGUUACGAUUCUACGACUGAAUUUAAUAGAUAAAGCACGGAGUGUAUAUUGACAGGAGAUGAAUCGAGUAUUUGACCCUUACUUUAGUAAAUUCAAUCUUAUGCAAAAACUAUUCAUCCGAUUUUAUUGGUUUAUACGUUAUCUUGUUGCUUAUUAAUUCCUCUUUCAAAAAAAUAUAACUUUUAGUAUAUUCCUGUUGUUAUUAAUGGAUUUAUAGCGAGUUAAACACAAGAAAUACGAUUUUUUUUUUUUACGAUUAGCGUACAGCGAAGCGCCGAGGUUAUACAUUUUGAUGUACCCACUCACGUCUUUUGUUAAAUUAUAGUUUCAUUUCUCGGCCGAUUUUGACAAAUUAUAUAUCAUUAGAAAGCUUACGUUACGCAGUAAACAGAUAUAUCAAUAUAUAUUAAGUUUUUCUUCUGAUUUCGACAGCCCGGCGAGUUAUAACUUUAACUUUUGCAAAUAUCAUACCGUUUUGGAGUUUUAGAAUCUAGAUUUACGGUUGACAUGUUCGUACUUAAUACCAAUUUGUAGCGUUUAUAUUUGGAGUUCAGUUUUAAAAAUUACAUCUUGCUUAGGAGAAAAGAAUUCUGUAUACGAUAGAAAAAUUUUUUGUUUAAAAACCAAAGUAAUUAAGGAAUGAAGGCGGGAAAAUGUAGCGCGCGUUCCUAACGCACUGAACUGAUGCUACGGUCUUGGCGAUUAUGCUUUUGUUUAGAAAUCGGCCAUUGAAUUUCUUUUGCCAUCUUAUUAUAUUUUUUAUGGAAUAUAUUGUAGUAUUUUGUUCACGAAACAUAUCAAUAAAGCUUAUUAUAAAUGAAUCUUAAUAAAUUAACGAUUUCAGCUCUUGUUUAUAACACAGAAAGGUUGUAAAAUUUAUGAUGAAACAGCGUAUAUAGCGGACCCUCUCGAUAUUAUUCGGCUUUGCAUGCAUACUUGAAAUAAAAUGGGUGUCAAAAACAUUCAUCGUUUGCUGUUUAUUAUCAACAAGGUAAUUAUGUAUAAUUAUUUGAAAUGUUAUUUACCUUAAAUUAUCAAUUUAUUAAAGAUUCUUGAAAAUCACGGUCCGUGUUACGCGGGUCAUUUCGUAUUUUGACAUCAGGGCAUCAUGUCCAACUAUUGAAAAUCAGAUUUUUUCACCGGGACGAUGACGGCUUGGAUUUAGACAGGCAGACAGAUAGUUUAUUCAGACUUAAACAACAGUACAUCGUCUUCAACUCAAAUAUAUAAAUUAUUUUUAGACGAAUUGUUAGGUGAUUACACAUAUAGCAGUGAUGAUUCUGAGAAUGUUGCCAUGUUUCUUAUCCGUGUAUUCUAGAGUCCAUGGUUUGAGCAUUUUUAUCGCGGUGUUCAAAAAAAGAUAUCUCAAUAAUCUUGUUUAUUGAUAGAUCUGUGGUUUUAUUGCCCCUGUGUUCAGCACAAACCAAUUAUCUCGUUAUGAUCAGAUACUGUGCCGACCAAUACUAAAUAACACUAUGGUGUCAUACGCCACAGCAGGGACCUAUACUUGUAUAUUGGUCCCUAACCACAGGUGGCAAUGUCUGGUCAGAUUACACUUUUUAUGAUACCUCCAUGUCUUCUCGUGGUAUUAGUGGUCAUUUCUUGGAGUAAUGUAACGCCCAAUACUCAAUUUUGCGUUUAUGAGAUAUGUAGCGUAUUGAAAACAUUUAUAGUCAUCUGCCCAUACAGAUUGCCAUAAACUAAAUACUGUAUAGAUGUCAGCCAGCUAAAUCACAAUAAUUAUAAGUGCUUAAUACCUAUACAUGUACAUUUUAAACAUUUAAAAAAUCUAAUACUUAACAUUUGACGUAUUUAGCG